This is a transfer RNA of Rhodobacter sp., 74 nucleotides long. It matches the Rfam family "tRNA". Rfam says of the family: Transfer RNA (tRNA) molecules are approximately 80 nucleotides in length. Their secondary structure includes four short double-helical elements and three loops (D, anti-codon, and T loops). The record is from Rfam. NCBI's taxonomy places the organism in Bacteria, Pseudomonadati, Pseudomonadota, Alphaproteobacteria, Rhodobacterales.
CGGAGCGUAGCGCAGUCUGGUAGCGCACCUGCUUCGGGAGCAGGGGGUCGGAGGUUCGAAUCCUCUCGCUCCGA